Non-coding RNA from Orbilia brochopaga, 96 nucleotides. The record is from the annotation of a GenBank genome assembly. Lineage: Eukaryota; Fungi; Ascomycota; Orbiliomycetes; Orbiliales; Orbiliaceae.
GUCGCUGUGGCCGAGUGGUUAAGGCGAUUGACUAGAAUUCCACUUCUAGACCAUCAAUUCUCUUCGGGGGCAUAGGUUCGAGUCCUAUCGGCGACG